Non-coding RNA from Agelaius phoeniceus (red-winged blackbird), 3694 nucleotides. NCBI's taxonomy places the organism in Eukaryota, Metazoa, Chordata, Aves, Passeriformes, Icteridae. The record is from RefSeq and is a predicted model, not a curated record.
CCACCGCUCCGCCUUCUCCUUUUCGCAAUGUUGACGCAAUCUAUAAAUAGUGGAACAAAAGGACCAACUUCCUCGCAGCUUUGCUGAAACUGCACAAAAAAGGCAACCGGGGGGGGGACACACACGAGGUUAUUUUUUGAUUUUAUUUUUCUCUGGUUAAAAGGCGAAUCCUCCUCCUCCUCCCUUCCUCCCUCUCUCUCUCCUUCCCUCCCUCUCCCCCCCUCUCUACUGGAAGAUCUUUUUUAUUUUCUCUUGCUGCCUCCUAUGCUGGCAACGUCCUGCGAGCGGCUAUUUUGCUUUUGCACCGAGAGAAGAGCUUCCUCCCUCGCCCUCUCUUCUGACACUUACAGAUGAAAUCCACACUGGUGUCUAACCUGUAAUGAGUGCCAAUGUUUUGACCUUUCAAUAGAGAGCUGAUUUUGGAGAAUGGCUUACUCCUGUGAUUGAAAAACUCUCUGGAAGGUUGAUGGAGCAUGAGCAUGAGCAAUUUUGUACUCGGUAGUCAACAUGAAUGUUUCUUGACCUGAAGAGUAGAUGAAACUUGCAAAAAAGUUCCAGUGCAUUUUUUUCAAAGAGCAUUCCUGACUUGUGUACAUGAGCUGCUUCUGAGGAAUUUCAGUUUUGCAUCUUCAGGAUCCUUCUUCCUCAGCAGAGCUCUUGCUUAUAGGGACUUGGGAAAUGUAAUGGAUCUUCUUGCAUACAUGACUCCCAGCUUUUAUUGAGGUCUUCUUUGUCAAUCUGUCUCUCAUCCACAGACUUAAAACACGAGGAUGGAGCACAGUUUCUUCAGGGGAGAGACCAACUGUCAGAGCAUAUGUUUACAGUAUAGGUUUAUUUUGACUUUGCACUCCUGCUUUAAUUCACCAUGAUUUUUCUCUUGCAGGAGAAUCUUUCAUUGAGAUGAUUGAAAUUGCUGCAGUGAGAAUGGAAAUUACUUGGGCUCCUUUCCUUUUAAAAGCUGCAUGCAAGAACUGUGUGCAGGUGUCAUUGCCUCCAGUAAAGACCUGUGUGCUUGUCACUGCCUGUUUCAGAAGAACAAAAACCCACAUACGCAUGCAUGUCCUGAACACUGCGUGUGAGGUAUCAACAUGACUAAUCCAUCUGAUGUCUGGAUCCUGCAAUGUUUCACUUCACAGCACAUAUGCAGAAAGUACUUCCUAAAGAGAAAUUUUCUUCUUCAGUGAAGCUCCAUCUGUCAUCUGUUCCCAGUAAAAGACUGCAUGAUCUGCUAUCUCCACGGUAUCUGCCAAAUAGGACAAGAAAAUUGUAAGGAACUGAGAUUUCCAGCACUGGAGAUUGUCAAUGACUGACUCCACAAAGGACAUUCUGGUGACAGCAAGAAUGAGCAAGAAAAUAAGAGAGUUCACUAUAAAUCUGCGUGAAAAGACUGAAGGAAUCUUGAAUUUGAAAGUGUUGCUUUCCUGAGGCAAGGAAAGUUUGUCCACAUCAACAAGCUUUAUUCCAUUCCACUGGCUGGUAUCAAAGCUCUUCAUUGUGGGACUGAUGUCCACAGUGGAACAAGGUAAAGGGGUUUCUUUGAGCACCUUGAUUUUUUCCCUGAACUCCUGCAUCUGCUGCAGAAAUAUAAUGGGUUCGGACACAUCUUUGAAGGCCUCUGCAAUGUUAAAAGCCAUCCGCUGCUCUUGCAGAAUGGUGUUCAGUUUAUUGAUUUCCGGAUCGUAGGCCUGCAUCACCGCAAGCUUCAUGGUCUCAAAGUCAGACAGAAUCUCAUUUCGCUUCUGCUCCAGCGUGUGCUGCAGCUUCUCAAAGAACUCCUUCACUUUGUCAGAAUCUUUCGUCAGCAUCUGCAGAGCUUUCCUCUUGCUGGUCUCUAAGGUAUCCAGCCGUGAGAGGGCAUCUCCACAACGCCAAGUUUCAAAGCCCUGAAACAAGGUUUCAAAAGCCCGCUUCUCCUGGGAAUAAGCUUCUUCAAUGGAACAGAAAACAUGCUUUGUGUGGUCACCACGGGUGGCACAAACCCCACAGAUCAGCUGCAUGUCUGUCCUGCAAAAAAUGUUAAGGGGUUGCCCGCUGUGCACUUUGCACACAGGCAUUUUUGGAGUUACUUUGAUUUUGUUGUACUUCUCCACGAUACCUUUCAGGGAAUAGUUGACCUGCAAGCUGUUGACUCCAGUGACAGGAGUCUCCUUUCUGCAUGUGGGGCACUUGAAAGGGGAUGGCCUCCAAAGCACAUUCCGCACAUUUCCCUCAAGAAUUCCUUCCAGACACUUUCUGCAGAAAUUGUGUGAACAUGGCAGGACACGAGGAUCAUCAAACAGGCUACAGCAAAUGGGACAGGUCAGAUCUUCCUCUAAGAGCUCCAUCAUGUCCUAGGAAAGAGAAAAAAGAUAGUAACAGAACUUAAAAAACUUAUUUCUCCCUCAAGGAGACCAUACAAAAAACAAUUUCCAUCUGAGACACGUUUCAGUGAGAAAAGGAUGUAUUUUUUCCUCCAGAAUCCUUAAGACAGAGCCUCAGCUGCAUUUUUGCAGCCAGUCCCCCUUAGCUGUGGUACCUGGCCAGCAAAUGGCAGGCACAAGAAUGGUGCAAUGCUCAGGCAGAACCAUUUUUUGGACUCUCAACUAGAAAUGCUGGAAAAGAACACUUGCCAAUCCCACCAAGGAUUCUUAAAGAACAUACCUCAUGUACUCACAGUAACAGUGCAUCCUUGCUGAUGCAAUACACAGAAAUGGGAUUUGCACAGAAGAUACACAACCAAUAUAGUCUGCUAAGAUUUGAUUGCUUUCUACUUGCUCCACUCAUCCAAAGCUUCCAGUUUCAACCCCUCGCACUGGUACUGUAGACAAUACUAAAAGUGACUGAAAGAGCCCUGUUGCAGUGUUUCUUCUGCUACAGAAUACAUAAUGUGUCUUUUUGCUCUACUUGCAAGGCCAAAGGAGAGUCACCACUCACUUUAAGAAUUACCUUUUCUCUUGCUCCUGCAGUAUUUUUAAAUAACCAACUGAAUGUGCUACUAUUGAGCCAUUCAGCACCAAGUCAAAAUACUUCAAAUAACUUCAAAUAACAGCUGCCCAUAAUCCUUGAUAAUUCAUCAUGAAACAAAACUGUGAAACAUUUUUGCUCAUCUGCAAUCUCUAUUUCCAAUUCCAUUCUCACAGCAUUCGUACCCCAGUAAUUUCUUUCUGUGGAGAGAACCUACAGGAAGAAUAUUUAUCAUGUAAUCCUUCCUACUGGAAAGUCUCAGUGAAAGGAUCCAGCGCACUGCCCUCCCCCCAUCUCUAACUAAAGCCAAGUUCUCAGAUGCAGACACCUUGUAACUUACAGCAUGCUCUAAGAAAACAAAUAGACAAUAAAGACCAAAGUAGGUGAUAGUCUGUAUGAUCCAAAGCUCUCAUACACUUUGUUUUGAGCUAUAAUUAGAAAGAUGCUUCCCUUGCAUAAAUUCCUUCCGUAUUAUACAACAUUUAUUCAUAUAUAUGUAAUAAAAUUCCUCUUAUAAAUUGAAAGACAUCACAGAAAAGUGCAUCAAAGUACUUCACGUACUGCUGUGACAUCAAGGCAUGUGAAUGAGCUCUUAAUUAGUUUUUAUGUAAUUUCUAAGGUUUCUGUCCCCUCAAAGAAAUAUGAAGUGGAAAACAUGGGAGCCAAGAACAGAGCUGCAAGGGAAGAUCCACGCUGCAUAGGAGACAAGAAGAGUAAUAAAAACAAUACUACUGACCCAAGGAAAGCAAAG